AUGAAGUGCAGAUUGACUAAAAAAGAGGAGGGGUUACAAUUCAACAAAUAUAGGUAAGUUUGGCACCAACUCAGUUAGCAGUAGUUUAAUGGUGGAAAAGCAGUUCAUGCUCAGUUCUCAUCUUCCUGUUUUUAUCAGAUAUAUUUGUUUUCUUCCUGAAUCUGCAAACUUGCAGCAGAUUCAAUCUUGCUAAUUUCGUUCUUUAAGCAGGCACCAGUCAAUCUUGCUGUUAUGGAUUUCCAGGCUUCUACACAACAUCAUUCUGGAUACAAUACAUCAAACUAAUUGUCGAUUUCCCCAGUUUUACUGCUCUAAUU
RNAcentral lists this long non-coding RNA (317 nucleotides) under Prunus dulcis (almond). RNAcentral describes it as "sRNA ncRNA". The record is from RNAcentral. Lineage: Eukaryota; Viridiplantae; Streptophyta; Magnoliopsida; Rosales; Rosaceae.